Molecule: ribosomal RNA, 253 nt
Filed under: uncultured bacterium
Lineage: Bacteria
Description: partial 16S ribosomal RNA
Rfam family: Bacterial small subunit ribosomal RNA
Source: RNAcentral
GACGAAGGAUGCAAGCGUUAUCCGGAAUUAUUGGGCGUAAAGAGUACGUAGGCGGCUUGUCAAGUCCCGGGUUAAAUCCCGCAGCUUAACUGCGGAUCGGCCUUGGAAACUGGCUUGCUGGAGUGUGGUAGGGGUAGCGGGAAUUCCUGGUGUAGCGGUGAAAUGCGUAGAUAUCGGGAAGAACACCUGAGGCGAAAGCGCGCAACUGGGCCCUAACUGACGCUGAGGUACGAAAGCUAGGGGAGCGAAUGGG